CUGUUUUAAGGCACAAAUCAAGGUCUCUUCUUUUGUUUAAGAAAGAUAUAUAAGAAAUCAAAGCAAAGGGAAAAGCACCCCAAAACUGAAGCAAAGGUAGUGGUGGGAUGAAGUUGAAGAAAUAGGAUUGAGUUGCAGCGCAUGAUAUGAACAGAAAUCCACUAAAUCCAAAAUAGAGUCACUCGGAUAAGCUGAAACGGAUUUUUUGUUUUAAUGUUUGAAUUUAUUUGGAAAUUUUUAUUAUUUUU
Hibiscus syriacus is the source of this 248-nucleotide long non-coding RNA. RefSeq lists it as uncharacterized. The record is from RefSeq and is a predicted model, not a curated record. The transcript is spliced from 2 exons. Lineage: Eukaryota; Viridiplantae; Streptophyta; Magnoliopsida; Malvales; Malvaceae.